This 414-nucleotide long non-coding RNA is filed under the name Homo sapiens (human). RNAcentral describes it as "HSALNT0406903". The record is from RNAcentral. Lineage: Eukaryota; Metazoa; Chordata; Mammalia; Primates; Hominidae.
GCAGACUUGAAAAUGAAUCAGAUGACCCUGGAUCCUUUGAGAUUUUUUAUGAGUUGAUGACAAAUUCUCAAAUCUGCAAUUUUGUUUUAUGUUUAACUGGACCCCGUGGUGCAAGCUGGCCAAACACUCUCUCUGAGUGCUGCUGACAUGUGUUCAUUCCAAUAAAUUAACUGUCCGCUCCAAUCCGAAUCAGCUGGUUGAAAGAAGCUACCUUGCUGUUUUUAAACUGGACUUGCUAUUAGAAGAAAACAGGUGGGAACUUCCUUGCCUUCAUGUCAUUUUGACCCUCCAUUGGUCUUAGGGAGCAAUCACUAAAACCAACUGCAGAAUUGGGUUAAUAAUGAAGUGUACCAGGUACACCCCCCAUGCAACUAACUUCUCAGGUGAUUUUGUUAUUGCAGUUAGGAAAUAAAC